RNAcentral lists this ribosomal RNA (271 nucleotides) under Salmonella enterica subsp. enterica serovar Senftenberg. Its description in RNAcentral is "partial 16S ribosomal RNA". It matches the Rfam family "Bacterial small subunit ribosomal RNA", at positions 1 to 268 of the family's 1533-position model. Lineage: Bacteria; Pseudomonadati; Pseudomonadota; Gammaproteobacteria; Enterobacterales; Enterobacteriaceae. The record is from RNAcentral. RNAcentral also lists the same sequence under 3 other names.
AAAUUGAAGAGUUUGAUCAUGGCUCAGAUUGAACGCUGGCGGCAGGCCUAACACAUGCAAGUCGAACGGUAACAGGAAGCAGCUUGCUGCUUCGCUGACGAGUGGCGGACGGGUGAGUAAUGUCUGGGAAACUGCCUGAUGGAGGGGGAUAACUACUGGAAACGGUGGCUAAUACCGCAUAACGUCGCAAGACCAAAGAGGGGGACCUUCGGGCCUCUUGCCAUCAGAUGUGCCCAGAUGGGAUUAGCUUGUUGGUGAGGUAACGGCUCAC